GUACUCUGGUUUCUCUUCGGAUCGCAUAAAUCUUUUGCCUUUAAAGAUUUCUGUGGAGAGGAACGAUUCUGAGUCUUUAUCCAAUUCUUUGAGACCUUGUUUCGGCAAGGCC
Saimiri boliviensis boliviensis (Bolivian squirrel monkey) is the source of this 112-nucleotide small nuclear RNA. RefSeq annotates it as U5 spliceosomal RNA. NCBI's taxonomy places the organism in Eukaryota, Metazoa, Chordata, Mammalia, Primates, Cebidae. The record is from RefSeq and is a predicted model, not a curated record.